This 231-nucleotide long non-coding RNA is filed under the name Elaeis guineensis (African oil palm). Its description in RNAcentral is "long non-coding RNA (EGUI_LNC041416)". Lineage: Eukaryota; Viridiplantae; Streptophyta; Magnoliopsida; Arecales; Arecaceae. The record is from RNAcentral.
UCUCACCUGGGUUCUGGAGUCCAGCUCAAUUAGCCCUCUGUCCCACUGGUGUGUCCGCAAGCUGGCUUGGCCUUCAUCUUGUGUUUGUUUCUGGAACCACCUGCCCUAAAAUAUGUAAUUACUCAAGGCUUAAUUAAUCAAUCCCCUCCUUUGUAUGCUUUUGUGUGCGCACGCGUGCCUAUACGUGUUUGCAUGCGUGAGUGCACGCGCAUGUGCAUGCAUGGGCAGCCC